Molecule: long non-coding RNA, 247 nt
Organism: Malaya genurostris
Lineage: Eukaryota; Metazoa; Arthropoda; Insecta; Diptera; Culicidae
Exons: 3
Source: RefSeq, a predicted model, not a curated record
AAAUAUUACAAUUUCUCAGAAUGAUAAUACGGUCCGACAUACCAGGGUUGUUAAGAAAAUCGUCGGUCGUAUAGCUAACGGGCCUGCGUAUGCCAUACAUCUAGUAAUGACACGAGUACCCAGAACAGUUAAACAAAUUACGUCAUUGGCCUGUGUUGGAUACUGACUAUGAAGUAACUGGAUAACCGAAAAUUCUAGUGCAUUCCUACCGGUUGAUGAACCCUUCGAGUGAAUCCAUACAUUCGGA